This 96-nucleotide transfer RNA is filed under the name Dactylosporangium vinaceum subsp. matsuzakiense. Its description in RNAcentral is "Dactylosporangium matsuzakiense tRNA-Met". Lineage: Bacteria; Bacillati; Actinomycetota; Actinomycetes; Micromonosporales; Micromonosporaceae. The record is from RNAcentral.
UCGGCCCACGCCUCGCGGGCGGCGAGGAUGGCGGUCAUCUCGCUGCGGUCCAGGCGGCGGGCCUGGAUGCGGUCGAUCUUCUCGGUCGGUUCGACC